GCUGUCCUGGACUGCCAGCCAGCACCACGGACACAGCCACUCUGCUGUGCCUGUGACAUCGGGGCAGAGAGGAAGUGGCUCUGUCUACGCUCAGUGUUCUGAGGCCGGCGAGCACUAAGCAUGUCUGCAGCCUCACAUGU
Cynocephalus volans (Philippine flying lemur) is the source of this 140-nucleotide small nucleolar RNA. RefSeq annotates it as small nucleolar RNA SNORA43. NCBI's taxonomy places the organism in Eukaryota, Metazoa, Chordata, Mammalia, Dermoptera, Cynocephalidae. The transcript has a single exon. The record is from RefSeq and is a predicted model, not a curated record.